GAAAAAAGAUUUUACUAUAUAUAUUCAGCUACUGAUAUAUAAAUAUAUAUACACACAAAUGUGUAAGGCGUAAAUUAAUGAUAGAGGGAAUUAAAACAAUAAGAAAAAAGAAAUUAAAAACUAAGAUGAAGCAUAUCAUCUAUAGUUUAAUUUUCUUUAAUAAUCUCAUUCUGAGCUUCUAAAGAAGAUAAACAAGGACUUAUAUGAAUCUCCUCUUGAUCGGCUUCUAAUGAAGAAACGCAAGGAGUUGAAGAAGAAUCAUCGGAAAAGGAAGAAGUGUAGAAAGACAAAGGAGAAGAAGGAGAACGAGAACAAGAGCAAGAAUCACUAGUUGUAGAAGAAGCAAAAGCAAGACCAAUAAGCAAAUCUAUAAAAGCACCAAUAAUAUACCCAUGAUUGCUCGUUCCAUUCACUUUCAAAUAGCAGCAAAGCAACUCUUCAAGACCUUCCCUUUCUUUUAAACCAUGAGCCUCCACCAUUUCCUCCAUCGAUUUCUUGAAAUCCACAUAAGGGUCUUGGGAGUCCAUCGACAAAACCACACUCUCUUUAAAUGGAAACUCACCACCUCCUGCCUUGGCUUCUUCCAAGAUUGAGCUAGUCUCCCCAGGCUCAAAGAACAGCCUCUCUGACCUUAAACCUUGAAUCACUGUCUCUAAGGAGGGCUCAUCAGCUCCAGCUGACUCAUCAGAUGCUGUGGAGAAACUUGCAGACUCAGAAGAGUUGGUGAACCAAGACUGAGCAGGUGUGUCCCCCACAUCUAUGUAAGCAGAGUUAAGGGUCUUGAACAUGUUUUCGCUGGUUCUGAAAGAGAGGGUUUUGGGUUGUUGACAAUAAACAGGCCAAGGCCAUGAUGAUGAAGAACUUGAUGAGUCUGCGUUAAUCUUGGAGAGAAAAGGAAGCUUCAUUUUCUUGCCCAGGUGCUUUGAUUUUUGGUGUCUCUACCCUCUCUAAGGACAUGAAAGGUGUUCAAAUGAUUUUCCAAGGUAAAGAAAUGUGAAAUUUUAGAUUUUCUUUAUGUAGGCAUUAAUGGGCAAGUCAGAGAAAGCUGUUAGAUUUUAGAGAGAGGGAGAGACAGAAUUCGGC
RNAcentral lists this unclassified non-coding RNA (1083 nucleotides) under Hevea brasiliensis (rubber tree). The record is from RNAcentral. Lineage: Eukaryota; Viridiplantae; Streptophyta; Magnoliopsida; Malpighiales; Euphorbiaceae.